RNAcentral lists this transfer RNA (171 nucleotides) under Nanobdellota archaeon. Its description in RNAcentral is "tRNA-Arg". Lineage: Archaea; Nanobdellati; Nanobdellota. The record is from RNAcentral.
GGACCCGUAGCCUAGCCUGGUUCCUGUAAAGGAAGACAAAUAGGGCGUUUGCCUCCUAAGCAAAAGACCGGGAGUUCAAAAGAUAAUUGGUUUUGGGUUUGGAGUCAUGGGUUUUAAGUAACUCAUAGCUAGCUAUUCGUAACCAAUUCCUUGGAAGUCUCCCCGGGUCCG